This 72-nucleotide transfer RNA is filed under the name Danio rerio (zebrafish). It matches the Rfam family "tRNA". From Rfam's summary of the family: Transfer RNA (tRNA) molecules are approximately 80 nucleotides in length. Lineage: Eukaryota; Metazoa; Chordata; Actinopteri; Cypriniformes; Danionidae. The record is from Rfam by way of RNAcentral.
GCAUUGGUGGCUCAGUGGUAGAAUUCUCGCCUGCCACGCGGGAGACCCGGUUUUCGAUUCCCGGCCAAUGCA